AACGUAGGUGGCGAGCGUUAUCCGGAUUUACUGGGCGUAAAGGGUGUGCAGGCGGGCGACCAAGUGGUGUAUGAAAUCUCCCAGCUAAACUGGGAUAGGUUAUGCCAGACUGGUGGUCUAGAGUGCGAGAGAGGGGCGUGGAAUUCCGGGUGUAGAGGUGAAAUUCGUAGAUAUUCGCAAGAACACCAGUGGCGAAGGCGGACUCACUGACCCGAUACGUGACGCUGAGGUGCGAAAGCGUGGGAGCAAACAGG
This 254-nucleotide ribosomal RNA is filed under the name uncultured bacterium. Its description in RNAcentral is "partial 16S ribosomal RNA". It matches the Rfam family "Bacterial small subunit ribosomal RNA", at positions 524 to 776 of the family's 1533-position model. The record is from RNAcentral.